CCUACGGGCGGCAGCAGUGGGGAAUAUUGGACAAUGGGGGCAACCCUGAUCCAGCCAUGCCGCGUGUGUGAAGAAGGCCCUCGGGUUGUAAAGCACUUUCAGUGAGGAAGAACGCCUGGUGGUUAAUACCCAUCAGGAAAGACAUCACUCACAGAAGAAGCACCGGCUAACUCCGUGCCAGCAGCCGCGGUAAUACGGAGGGUGCGAGCGUUAAUCGGAAUUACUGGGCGUAAAGCGCGCGUAGGUGGCUUGAUAAGCCGGUUGUGAAAGCCCCGGGCUCAACCUGGGAACGGCAUCCGGAACUGUCAAGCUAGAGUGCAGGAGAGGAAGGUAGAAUUCCCGGUGUAGCGGUGAAAUGCGUAGAGAUCGGGAGGAAUACCAGUGGCGAAGGCGGCCUUCUGGACUGACACUGACACUGAGGUGCGAAAGCGUGGGUAGCAAACAGGAUUAGAUACCCCAGUAGUC
Molecule: ribosomal RNA, 465 nt
Filed under: Vreelandella stevensii
Lineage: Bacteria; Pseudomonadati; Pseudomonadota; Gammaproteobacteria; Oceanospirillales; Halomonadaceae
Description: partial 16S ribosomal RNA
Rfam family: Bacterial small subunit ribosomal RNA
Source: RNAcentral